RNAcentral lists this ribosomal RNA (267 nucleotides) under Proteus sp. S14. Its description in RNAcentral is "partial 16S ribosomal RNA". It matches the Rfam family "Bacterial small subunit ribosomal RNA", at positions 1122 to 1388 of the family's 1533-position model. The record is from RNAcentral. Lineage: Bacteria; Pseudomonadati; Pseudomonadota; Gammaproteobacteria; Enterobacterales; Morganellaceae.
CACGUAAUGGUGGGAACUCAAAGGAGACUGCCGGUGAUAAACCGGAGGAAGGUGGGGANGACGUCAAGUCAUCAUGGCCCUUANGAGUAGGGNUACACNCGUGNUACAAUGGCAGAUACAAAGAGAAGCGACCUNGNGAGAGCAAGCGGAACUCAUAAAGUCUGUNGUAGUCCGGAUUGGAGUNUGCAACUCGACUCCAUGAAGUCGGAANCGCUAGUAAUCGUAGAUCAGAAUGCUACGGNGAAUACGUUCCCGGGCCUUGUACAC